This 1405-nucleotide ribosomal RNA is filed under the name swine fecal bacterium SD-Pec6. RNAcentral's name for it is "partial 16S ribosomal RNA". It matches the Rfam family "Bacterial small subunit ribosomal RNA". The record is from RNAcentral.
GCGCGUGCUAAUAAUGCCAAGACCGAGCAACAAAACGAAGGUACCGAUGCACAUCUAACCGGAGGGACCGACGGGAUGAACGAACACGUACCAUAACCUAAAGAGUAAAAUAACAUAACGAAAACAAACCGGAACAAAGACAGAAUAAUAUAUUGAACCCAAGGGUCAAAAAGGAAAAAACGGUUUUGGCGGCAACUAAUAAAGGAAUCCCCCCCCCAAUAAACAAGUGGGAAAGGAAACGCCUCACCAAGCCAAACAAGCCGAAGCCAACCUAAGAAGGGAACCGCCACCACGGAAACGAAAACACGUCCAAAACCCCAACGGAAGCAACAGUAAGGGAAUCUCCCCAAUGGGCCAAAACCCGAACGAACAAACCCCCCGGAAUGAAGAAAGGCCUCCGAAGCCGANAAACCCGGUAAUAAGGAAAAACAAAAGGGGAAAGAAACAAGCAACGCCUGAACGGNACCUAACAAAAAACCAACGCCAAACAACGGCCAACAANCCCCCGGAAAAACGAAGGGGCAAACCGUAACCCGAAAUAAUGGGCCGAAAGCGCGCGUAGGCGGUUUUUUAAGAUCUGAUGGGAAAGCCCACGGGCUCAACCGUGGGAGGGGCAUUGGAAACUGGAAAACUUGAGUGCAGAAAGAGGAAAGUGGAAUUCCAUGUGUAGCGGUGAAAUGCGCAGAGAUAUGGAGGAACACCAGUGGCGAAGGCGACUUUCCUGGUCUGUAACUGACGACUGAUGUGCGAAAGCGUGGGGAUCAAACAGGAUUAGAUACCCNUGGUAGUCCACGCCGUAAACGAUGAGUGCUAAGUGUUAGGGGGUUUCCGCCCCUUAGUGCUGCAGCUAACGCAUUAANCACUCCGCCUGGGGAGUACGACCGCAAGGUUGANAACUCAAAGGAAUUGACGGGGACCCGCACAAGCGGAGGAGCAUGUGGUUUAAUUCGAAGCAACGCGAAGAACCUUACCAAAUCUUGACAUCCUCUGACCCCUCUAGAGAUAAAGUUUUCCCCUUCGGGGGACAGAGUGACAGGUGGUGCAUGGUUGUCGUCAGCUCGUGUCGUGAGAUGUUGGGUUAAGUCCCGCAACGAGCGCAACCCUUAAGCUUAGUUGCCAUCAUUAAGUUGGGCACUCUAAGUUGACUGCCGGUGACAAACCGGAGGAAGGUGGGGAUGACGUCAAAUCAUCAUGCCCCUUAUGAUUUGGGCUACNCNCGUGCUNCAAUGGACAAUNCAAAGGGCAGCGAANCCGCGAGGUCAAGCAAAUCCCAUAAAGUUGUUCUCAGUUCGGAUUGUAGUCUGCAACUCGNCCUAUAUGAAGCUGGAAUCGCUAGUAAUCGUAGAUCAGACAUGCUACCGGUGAAUACCGUUCCCCGGGUCUUGUACCACCACCCGCCCGUCCA